AACGCACCUUGCGCCCUUUGGCUAUUCCGAAGGGCAUGCCUGUUUGAGUAUCAUGAACACCUCAACUCUCAUGGUUUGCCGUGAUGAGCUUGGACUUUGGGGGUCUUGCUGGCCUACGGUCAGCUCCCCUAAAAUGAAUCAGCUUGCCAGUGUUUGGUGGGAUCACAGGUGUGAUAACUAUCUACGCUUGUGGCCUUCCACCAAUUAACUUCCAGCAAUGGAGGUUCGCUGGAGCUCAUAAACGUCUCUCCUCAGCGAGGACAGCUCUUUUGAAUGUUUGAUCUCAAAUCAGGUAGGACUACCCGCUGAACUUAA
RNAcentral lists this unclassified non-coding RNA (315 nucleotides) under uncultured Tomentella. RNAcentral's name for it is "sequence contains ITS2". Lineage: Eukaryota; Fungi; Basidiomycota; Agaricomycetes; Thelephorales; Thelephoraceae. The record is from RNAcentral.